Molecule: ribosomal RNA, 437 nt
Filed under: uncultured bacterium
Lineage: Bacteria
Description: bacterial SSU rRNA
Rfam family: Bacterial small subunit ribosomal RNA
Source: RNAcentral
GCACAACGCGAAGAACCUUACCUACUCUUGACAUCCACGGAACUUUCAGAGAUGAAUUGGUGCCUUCGGGAACCGUGAGACAGGUGCUGCAUGGCUGUCGUCAGCUCGUGUUGUGAAAUGUUGGGUUAAGUCCCGCAACGAGCGCAACCCUUAUCCUUUGUUGCCAGCGGUCCGGCCGGGAACUCAAAGGAGACUGCCAGUGAUAAACUGGAGGAAGGUGGGGAUGACGUCAAGUCAUCAUGGCCCUUACGAGUAGGGCUACACACGUGCUACAAUGGCGCAUACAAAGAGAAGCGACCUCGCGAGAGCAAGCGGACCUCAUAAAGUGCGUCGUAGUCCGGAUUGGAGUCUGCAACUCGACUCCAUGAAGUCGGAAUCGCUAGUAAUCGUAGAUCAGAAUGCUACGGUGAAUACGUUCCCGGGUCUUGUACACACCG